CCCACGCAAGCCCAGCCCCUGGAGAAACCCGGCCCGAGGGCAAAGAGCCCGACCCCUUCUGGACUUUCUAGCAGCUGGGACUUGUCGCUGUGGGUGGCAGGUGUUUGGCACCGGAUGGGCCACCAUGCAGAGACUGUUGGGGACUGUGGAAGCCUUCUCCUCCAGAGCUCACCCUGCCUGGGCACCAGCUCUGCAGGCCCCUCAGCCCUGGGUAUGUAUCGGCCAGCCCUUCCCCGCGACGGGGCCCAGAGGCCAGAGCCUGCCCAGAGCUGAGUGCAGGAGGCACCCAGAACGUGCCAGGCUGUGGCCCGCCUCCUCCGUGGACCUCCCCAGCUUGUCCGUGAGCCCUGGAGACAGGAGCACCUUCUCCAGGGCUGCUGAGCUGCCAGCAUCACCAUGAGCCAGGCGGUGAAGGUUUCUGAGCAGGGGAUGCAGAGCCCUGACCCGACUGGAUGCUGCACCCCACGAUGUCCCUUCCUGGCAGCUCGAGAGAGGCUAUAUUCAUCUGUGUUAAUCACUGCUGUGUUUCCUGAACAUGCCUAGAAAACAUACUGAAGAAGGGUGCCUGAAAUUUGACUUUUAGAAAUUAAAACUCAAGUUAAAAAGUGAGUGACGGGCUUCCCUGGUGGCUCAGUGGUUGAGAGUCCGCCUGCCGAUGCAGGG
Molecule: long non-coding RNA, 663 nt
Organism: Lagenorhynchus albirostris (white-beaked dolphin)
Lineage: Eukaryota; Metazoa; Chordata; Mammalia; Artiodactyla; Delphinidae
Exons: 3
Source: RefSeq, a predicted model, not a curated record